GAUGAACGCUGGCGGCGUGCCUAAUACAUGCAAGUCGAGCGAACAGAUAAGGAGCUUGCUCCUUUGACGUUAGCGGCGGACAGGUGAGUAACACGUGGGUAACCUACCUAUAAGACUGGAAUAACUCCGGGAAACCGGGGCUAAUGCCGGAUAACAUUUAGAACCGCAUGGUUCUAAAGUGAAAGAUGGUUUUGCUAUCACUUAUAGAUGGACCCGCGCCGUAUUAGCUAGUUGGUAAGGUAACGGCUUACCAAGGCAACGAUACGUAGCCGACCUGAGAGGGUGAUCGGCCACACUGGAACUGAGACACGGUCCAGACUCCUACGGGAGGCAGCAGUAGGGAAUCUUCCGCAAUGGGCGAAAGCCUGACGGAGCAACGCCGCGCGAGUGAUGAAGGUCUUCGGAUCGUAAAACUCUGUUAUUAGGGAAGAACAAAUGUGUAAGUAACUGUGCACGUCUUGACGGUACCUAAUCAGAAAGCCACGGCUAACUACGUG
RNAcentral lists this ribosomal RNA (497 nucleotides) under uncultured bacterium. Its description in RNAcentral is "partial 16S ribosomal RNA". It matches the Rfam family "Bacterial small subunit ribosomal RNA", at positions 28 to 507 of the family's 1533-position model. The record is from RNAcentral.